AAUAUUGCGCAAUGGAGGGAACGCUGACGCAGCGACGCCGCGCGAGCGAUGAAGGUCUUCGGAUCGUAAAGCUCUGUCCUUGGGGAAGAAGGGCGCCGUAAGGCUUCUUGACGGUACCCAUGGAGCAGACCCCUGCUAACUACGUGCCAGCAGCCGCGGUAAUACGUAGGGGGCGAGCGUUGUCCGGAAUUAUUGGGCGUAAAGCGCGCGCAGGCGGCUUGUUAAGUCAGGUGUAAAAAUGCGGGGCUCAACCCCGUAUCGCCCUUGAAACUGGCAGGCUUGAGUGCAGGAGAGGGAAGUGGAAUUCCUAGUGUAGCGGUGAAAUGCGUAGAUAUUAGGAGGAACACCAGUGGCGAAGGCGACUUCCUGGACUGUAACUGACGCUGAGGCGCGAAAGCUAGGGGAGCAAAC
Molecule: ribosomal RNA, 411 nt
Filed under: uncultured bacterium
Lineage: Bacteria
Description: partial 16S ribosomal RNA
Rfam family: Bacterial small subunit ribosomal RNA
Source: RNAcentral